This 959-nucleotide long non-coding RNA is filed under the name Musa acuminata (dwarf banana). RNAcentral's name for it is "long non-coding RNA (MACU_LNC003825)". Lineage: Eukaryota; Viridiplantae; Streptophyta; Magnoliopsida; Zingiberales; Musaceae. The record is from RNAcentral.
CCAGGAAAUCCAUAGUUGCAGGCUUUGGAUCUUCUCUUCACUCCAUGGAAGACCAUUACGGUUAGUCAAUGGUGUCUUGCUUUAUAAUUUUGAUAAUUUCAUGCAAUAAAUGGUCAGCUUUUGGGUGAAGAUCAGGUUCUAUUGUAGCAUCCGGAACAUCCAUGUCAAAAAGGUGUUCCACAUCUUUGCACUUGGUACCAUUUGGUUAACCCAGUGCAGUUUUGAAGUCAUCUGCUAUUCUCUCAGAUUCAGAAGCACCAUGGUCAAAGCAGUGAUCCAAAUUGCAUUCUUUUAUACAGGCCUAUGAUAUCAGACCAAAGUUCAUCUCAGGCAGUUUAUCACGGACUGAAUGGUAACUAGGAAACAAGUUCAAAGGACAGAGCAAUCCCUUGAGAAGGAAAUCAGAGAAAUAAGGAUUUAAGAUAUACUUCCUCAAGCUGGACUGUCUAAAUUUUUGUCAAACCAGAGUCAUCAGGGAAGAAGCUCACUGGUUUGGUCUUUGUUGCAGGAUACGGAAAUAUGCAUUCCUGUCUGUCAACCAAGUAAAGAUCCUAGCAUCGUAAUUAUACCGCAAACUCCACAAUUCAGCCAUCUGGUUGAGCUCUCUACAGACUUGUCGGAAAUUCAUUGGAGCUAAAGGAGUGUCAGCAUGCUGUAGCAAUUGGAGUGACAAUUUUAUUCUUCUCAUCGUUUCUAUGUCAGAUAGUUCAUAUUUUGCACAUAUGCAUCAGCUGUUCAGAAAAAAUUAUAGGUGAUGGACAUUCUACAAUAGCAGAAAAAGGGACAAACUUAGAAUUAUUGCCUUGUUUCUUUUUGAAAGAUCUUGUUAGAUUCAGAUGUACCGGCUUUGAAUUCAAUGGUUUACUUUGGUAGUUCGUGUAGUCUCUUGCUUCACAUGCAUGGGUCAAUCUAAAAGACAAAGACAUGAGAACUGAGAGUCAAUGGAACAGAUUCUAAUG